This is a long non-coding RNA of Populus trichocarpa (black cottonwood), 865 nucleotides long. RefSeq lists it as uncharacterized. The transcript has 2 exons. The record is from RefSeq and is a predicted model, not a curated record. NCBI's taxonomy places the organism in Eukaryota, Viridiplantae, Streptophyta, Magnoliopsida, Malpighiales, Salicaceae.
CCCGUCAACUGGUACAUUUCUAGCUUUCAACAGGAGGCCGGUCUUGUCUAUGCUAGCAUUUUCAUGCAGAGACAGCAGGGAGACAUUGAUUUUGACACUUACAAGACCACAUUUGCUCACGUAGAAUUACUACAAAAAUUUAGGUCACAGUCGACUGCAACACAUGUCCAAGCAUGUAGGCAUCAAAGUACCAAUCCACUUCUAUAUAAGAGAUGAUCAGUUUGAAGAGGCAACACAAAGAAAACAAGAUAUUGACAUAAACCAAAAAGAAGUCCUAAGAUGGCAAAGAUUUCACGCAAUCAUCUUGUUCUUGUAGCCUUUUUCCUUCUUUGCUUUGUUUCCACUUGUGCUAGAGCAGCAAGGACUUUGCGAGAGGCUAGCAACCACGGAGCAGAGAAAAAGGACCAAAAUGAUAUGUUUCCAUCAAAAGAAAAUGGUUUACCAGACGUGGAGGAAUUGGUUGGGAUGGACUACACUCCAGCGAGAAAGAAGCCUCCAAUCCACAACUAAAAAAAUGGAAAUUUCUGGUUGAGCUACGACAAGAGUCUUGUCUAUUCUAGUACUCAUCAUACACAUCUACUACGGUUUUGAGCUAGCUAGCACAUACAGUUCAAUAUAUAGGAGGGACAAUUAUUGCAGUGUGUGUGUGUAUAUAUAUAUAUUAGUACAUGGUUAUUUAGGAGUGUAACUUGCAAAGAAUAUUGCACUAGGAGGGGUUUAAUUAGUCUAUGGAAAUUUGUUUUUUGUAAUUAGGUUAUAAAUCAUGGCUUAAAGAACUAACAGUAAUUAACUUGAGAUACAGAAGUAUCAAUUAUGCUUGUAAUACCUUGGAUAUGAAAUCCAAGCACACUUUUCUUUUUUCUCC